GGGUUUGACAUGCUAGUGUAGGGAAACCGAAAGGUGACCGACCCUUUCGGGGAGCUAGCACAGGUGCUGCAUGGCUGUCGUCAGCUCGUGUCGUGAGAUGUUCGGUUAAGUCCGCUAACGAGCGCAACCCUCGCUGUGUGUUAUAUGUGUCACAUGGGACUGCCGGCCGUUAAGCCGGAGGAAGGUGGGGAUGAUGUCAGGUCAGCAUGGCCUUUAUGUCCUGGGCUACACACACGCUACAAUGGUCAGCACAAUGGGUCGCUAAGCCGCAAGGUGGAGCCAAUCCUCAAAGUUGGCCUCAGUUCAGAUUGUAGGCUGCAACUCGCCUGCAUGAAGAUGGAGUUGCUAGUAAACGCAGGUCAGCUAUACUGCGUUGAAUACGUUCCCGGGGCUU
RNAcentral lists this ribosomal RNA (394 nucleotides) under uncultured Atribacterota bacterium. Its description in RNAcentral is "bacterial SSU rRNA". It matches the Rfam family "Bacterial small subunit ribosomal RNA", at positions 977 to 1382 of the family's 1533-position model. The record is from RNAcentral. Lineage: Bacteria; Pseudomonadati; Atribacterota.